Molecule: long non-coding RNA, 596 nt
Organism: Rattus norvegicus (Norway rat)
Lineage: Eukaryota; Metazoa; Chordata; Mammalia; Rodentia; Muridae
Source: RefSeq, a predicted model, not a curated record
UGGUCUCCUAGGCAACCAGUCUGAGAUGGAAUGUAUUUGUCAAGGGGAGGGAGAGGAAGGAGAUGAACACACGACUGAUGAGACUGCAGGCCACUCCUUCAUCUGGUGAGCGUAGGCAGGGAACCACUUCCAAAAGGUGAAACCCAAGUGCAUUCUAGACUCUUCACGGAUUUUAGCACCAAGGGCUUUAGGAGACAAAAACUAAGUCCAGAAGAGAAACUAAAUGAUGAAGAGAAACAUGGAGGGUUACCGUGGAAACCAAGGAAACAGCCAAGGAAAGAGACAAAUUGUAUAUGAAAUGCAUGACUGCUCCACCUCAACCUGCUUCCCACACUUGAAAACUCGGUUGCCAGUUAACAGGGAUGCUUUGGGAAGUGAAGAACCUUUAGGUGGAAGUAGGACUUAGCUGGAGGAAGUGGAGCACCAGAGGGUGCGUGUUAUGGGUAAGAGGCUGGCUCUGUUUCCAGCCAGCACUCUUUCCUGACUAGGAAAGAUGUAACCAGCCUUCUCCAACCCCAACCACCAGCUCUCUCUGCUCUACUCUUUCAGCCCAUGAGCCACAAUAAAUCCUCCCUUGAGUGUUCUGUCAGGAGUAA